CGAGACCUCUCGAUGGCCGCGGCCAUUCCUCUCGGGAAUGGCUGAGGAACUUCCGGGCUCCAUAGAGCACGAUGGCGGAUAACGUCCGCCCAGGGCGACCUGAGAGAUAGCGCAACAGAGAACAGACCGCCUGCCCCUAGGGCAGGUAAGGGUGAAACGGCGGUGUAAGAGACCACCGGGCCGCUGGUAACAGCGGUCGCACGGCAAGCCUCAUCGGGAGCAAGGCCAAGCAGAAGGCAUUUAGGGGCUGCUCGUCCCGCCUUCGGGUAGGCCGCUAGAGCCUGGCGGUAACGUCAGGUCGAGAUGGAUGGCCAUCCUCCUGUCGGACUCCGACGGAUGACAGAACCCGGGGUAUAUGAGAGGUCUCAUCCC
Bifidobacterium indicum is the source of this 372-nucleotide non-coding RNA. It matches the Rfam family "Bacterial RNase P class A". From Rfam's summary of the family: Ribonuclease P (RNase P) is a ubiquitous endoribonuclease, found in archaea, bacteria and eukarya as well as chloroplasts and mitochondria. The record is from Rfam. NCBI's taxonomy places the organism in Bacteria, Bacillati, Actinomycetota, Actinomycetes, Bifidobacteriales, Bifidobacteriaceae.